CUGAGCUGUGGGAGGCUCGCCAGUUCUCAGGUCUGCUAAUGAGUGGUGUGGUGUCUGGCAAGGAUCUUGCCUGCGAGUGAGUGUGACUAAUCAUGAAUCUUCUCAAUAUCGCUGACAAUUCAUUCUCCUUUCUCCCCUUCAGCCGCUUUCUUUGCUAGAGCUGGCUGAAAUAGGAGCAAAUUAGUCUCAUUCUGGAAAAGGCAGGGCAUGUUCAGAGGACCCCCUGAAAGGUUUCCAGUGCUCGGUUCCCGGAUGCGUUGCAGUCAGUGUAAUUACCUGACUUGGGUGAGUCAGUUUUUUGUGGCUGUUUCCCACGUUUCAUAGCGGGCAUCUGAAGACACCUGCGCCUGCGCCACUGGCCUAUUGGACAUGUUUGCAUUUGACACCAGGAAAAGCAGUGGUGCGAUUAUCCCAUGAGUGCGGCAGCUCUGGAGCUGGGCAUCUGUGCAUUCCCUGUUCAAAUGCUCUCCUUCAUCAGAUACGAUUCCUCAGGGAGGAAAGGUGUGUGGAGCAGGCUCGGGGAAGUCAGCGCACAGUGUGUUAGGUAAUGGGCUGAGGAGCUUUGUGCCAGCUCCCCUGCUGCUGAUUGAGAUCUCUCAGAGGAGAGCAGCAGUUCUCUAACAACCAACGUGUGCCCUCAUCAUGACCAGAUCUCUGCGAUGACUCAGGUACAAUUUCCUAAUAAUCCAGCCAAAACGUUUUGAGAGACGCCAGCAAGAGAAGAAAGCAAAGGGAACAUGGAUUGAGAUUUGGAAAACACUGGGGUAGUUCAUAAAACUCUUGGUUCUUUAAAUAAACACCGUGUAGCUCA
Mesocricetus auratus (golden hamster) is the source of this 811-nucleotide long non-coding RNA. RefSeq lists it as uncharacterized. NCBI's taxonomy places the organism in Eukaryota, Metazoa, Chordata, Mammalia, Rodentia, Cricetidae. The transcript has 2 exons. The record is from RefSeq and is a predicted model, not a curated record.